GAUGAACGCUGGCGGCGUGCUUAACACAUGCAAGUCGAACGAUGAAAGCGGGAGCUUGCUCCUGCUGGAUUAGUGGCGAACGGGUGAGUAACACGUGAGUAACCUGCCCUUGACUCUGGGAUAAGCGUUGGAAACGACGUCUAAUACCGGAUACGACCUUCGGAGGCAUCUCCUGGGGGUGGAAAGAAUUUCGGUCAAGGAAUGGACUCGCGGCCUAUCAGCUAGUUGGUGAGGUAAUGGCUCACCAAGGCGACGACGGGUAGCCGGCCUGAGAGGGUGACCGGCCACACUGGGACUGAGACACGGCCCAGACUCCUACGGGAGGCAGCAGUGGGGAAUAUUGCACAAUGGGCGCAAGCCUGAUGCAGCAACGCCG
Molecule: ribosomal RNA, 376 nt
Filed under: uncultured bacterium
Lineage: Bacteria
Description: bacterial SSU rRNA
Rfam family: Bacterial small subunit ribosomal RNA
Source: RNAcentral